UACGGAGGGUGCAAGCAUUGAUCGGAAUUACUGGGCGUAAAGGGCGCGUAGGCGGUCGAGAAAGUCAGAUGUGAAAUUCCGGGGCUCAACCCCGGAGCUGCAUUUGAAACUUCUCGACUAGAGUACAAUUAGGGAAAACGGAAUUCCACGUGUAGCGGUGAAAUGCGUAGAUAUGUGGAAGAACACCGGUGGUGAAGACGGUUUUCUGGGUUGUAACUGACGCUGAGGCGCGAAAGCUAGGGGAGCAAACAGG
RNAcentral lists this ribosomal RNA (253 nucleotides) under uncultured bacterium. RNAcentral's name for it is "partial 16S ribosomal RNA". It matches the Rfam family "Bacterial small subunit ribosomal RNA", at positions 524 to 776 of the family's 1533-position model. The record is from RNAcentral.